GAAGAACAGGGGAGCUUGGGGAGGCCAGAGGUUACAUAGCCAGGCUUAGCAUCACAGAACGUUGCUAGAAGCCUGGGCUCCUGAUUCCCAGGCAAAUGGUCUCUGCUCAGCCCAGAGCAAGACCCAGAGAUAAUAACACCAGGCCAGGUACAUAUUGACUGUAGACAGAGUCAUCGACAAGAACCACAAAGGAGACAAGAGCUGAGGAGGAAGCCUCACCAGGCAGGUGACCUCAGAUCCUCGCUGUAAUGAGAAGUUGGCUGAGUUAGGAUGAUCACCGUCUCCGUAGCAGUUAGCCAGCUGUGGAGACUCAGUCCCUAGCUUGUGCCUCACUCAGGCACAAGGGAGAGUGACAAUCCAGACAACUAAUGGGAAGGGAGAGCACACAGGGACUGCAAAGGAGAAAACACAGCAUUCGUAUGUCAAGGUUCCUUCAAGAGUCCAUAGACCCUCCCCAGCUUGCUCACAUGAAGCCAACCAUGAUCUCCACCCUGGGCACACCCCUCCUACGCCUCCUCCUCCAACAAGCCUCCACCUGCAAGGCAAACACACUCAGAGUUCACCCGCCACACGUACCUUCCCAUGCAAACCCAACAAAAUUGAUGGCAGAAACUGUGGGAAAGAGGCAGGAAGAGAGACUGUGGUUAGCAAGGUGGGUUCAGAGGCGUGGGCUUCUUCAUCGCUACGAUCCAAUAACAACACAAAAGAAAAACACAGCCUGAACUUGAAGCUGAGCAGUUCAGGAGGAAGAUCAAGGGUUAGAAGCGAAGGUAGAACCAACUUAUUCUCAAGAUGUGUUUGAAAGCACAACCAUGCCCUGCAUCAAACAAUGCUUCAGACCCAGGUGGCAGCUCUCACUCCCCCUCUGGGCUUAGCUGCUCCAGAAACCAGUGCUUCGGAGGAAUAUUUUGGGAGCCCCCGAUUUGUCCCAGCUGUCUCUUAUGGGCUCAGGGAUGGACAUUUCGUGCGGCAUUCUCUGAUGUAUGUCUCUGUGUCUUAACUUUCCCCUUUGCCAUAUCAAUCAUAUCUGAUUAGGGCAUAGUCUCGAUGAUCUCACUUUGAUCAGAUGUCCAAAUAAACUCACUUUCCGAGGU
This 1094-nucleotide long non-coding RNA is filed under the name Mus spretus (western wild mouse). Its description in RNAcentral is "lncRNA (ENSMSPG00010050749.1)". Lineage: Eukaryota; Metazoa; Chordata; Mammalia; Rodentia; Muridae. The record is from RNAcentral.